Molecule: unclassified non-coding RNA, 389 nt
Filed under: soil metagenome
Description: partial contains 5.8S ribosomal RNA, internal transcribed spacer 2, and large subunit ribosomal RNA
Rfam family: 5.8S ribosomal RNA (bases 1-121)
Source: RNAcentral
GAUGAAGAACGCAGCGAAAUGCGAUACUUGGUGUGAAUUGCAGAAUCCCGUGAACCAUCGAGUCUUUGAACGCAAGUUGCGCCCGAAGCCAUUAGGCCGAGGGCACGCCUGCCUGGUGUCACACGUCGUUGCCCCCCCAUCUACUCCUUCGGGAUUGCGGGGGGCGGAUGAUGGCCUCCCGUGCGCCUCGUCGCGCGGUUGGCAUAAAUGCCAAGUCCUCGGCGACGCACGCCACGACAAUCGGUGGUUGCGAAACCUCGGUUGCCCGUCGUGUGCGGUCGUCGCGCAUCGAGGGCUCGAAAAAAUUGCCGGGCUCCGGCUCGGCUUUCAACGCGACCCCAGGUCAGGCGGGGUUACCCGCUGAAUUUAAGCAUAUCAAAAGCGGAGGA